AAGAGGUAAAAAAAAAAAAGAGAAAUGGAAACUAUUGAGUUCCAAACAUGGACCAGAGGUGAAUUUUUAUGACAUACACAACUAAUACCUCGAUGAAGCUGAUUUAUUUCAAAGAAGAAGGCGGCUUUGCAGGCUGCCAGUUAUCCAGCUGUAGAUCAGUCAUCUGUUCCAGUGCAUGGGGGUUUUUUCACUCUCAGCAGAAGCUGGAGGACCUGCUUGGAUGAUGGGCAAGAAUCCAGGCAACUCAAAAGGGCCAGGUGGUAGGCUGUGGCCAGGGCUUGGGCAGCUGGUUCCAGCUGGCUGGGUGGGAGGAUCCAGGCCCCUCAGCCCUGCCUCCACCAAAAGGCUCUUCAGUGGGGGACUCCCCCACAGCAGAGGGGGGGGCUGGGAGGAGGGCAGUCAAACACUGGCAAAUUGCUGCUACACAUUUCUAAAAUUUAGUGUGUCCUAAGGAGCAUUCAAAGAUGAACCAGAGAUGACACAGGCAUGGAACUUGUCUUCGAGAGGCUUCAGCUAGUUACAGAGAGCUUCACUUCUAAUGCUUAAAUCCAAAUAAACUUAAAUUAGUCCAUGAUUGUUGGAGGAACACCAGCUAUACAAGGCAGAAAUCCCUUGAUUUGAAAUGCAGCGUGUUUCAUUCCACCACUAAAAUGCCAGACGAGUCGAAGAGAAGCAAACCCAGACCUUGAACCUCCUGAGCAAACUCAGAGCAUAGACCUAGCAGGAGUGGGCAGGCCAUGCUGGGCACCAAGUGGCAUAAACAGGAAUGCCCUCAGCAGCCUUCUUUGUAAUAGCCCCAAAGGCAAAGCAACCCCAGGCAUUGGCACUGUUCAGGAACAGAGUACUGUGUCAAUGAAAAUGAACAAAUUACAGCUACAGGAUGCAACAGGACGAAGCCAGACACAAAUGAGCACAAACUUUAACUCCUCAUAUAUAAACUCUUCAAACUAAACUGUACCUGUUUUUAAAAACUUAACUACAGUAGUACCAGUCAGAACAGUGUGCACUUUUGGACAGAGGGAGGAGACGGCAAAGGAAGGAGCAGGCAAGGCUUUCUGGGGGUGCUGGCCGGGUGCUAUUGCCUGGCAGGGAUCCAAUGGGAGUUUGCUUCAUGAAAGUUUCCUGAGCUGGACAUUGAGGCUUUAUGCACUUUUCCAGAGGUGUGUUAUAUUCACAAUGAAAGGGGUUUACCAGAAGGCAACUGGGGGUUUAAUCAGACCCCAUACAAUCCAAAAUUCCUUUUUUCUUGAGAUAGAAUAUUUAUCCUUAAUUCACUUUGCAGAAAGCCCUGGCGUUUCUUAGAGUCAGUUAAAAACCUCUGGACAUUCCUAAAAAAAUGCAAAUGAGAACGACUGUAAGGCCCACCUGGUACCUAUUAAGAAACCUAGCGCAGCUCGACUGAGAUUCUGAAUGGGAGAGGCCUCGCAUCUUGGGUGAGACACCACAGCUCGCCCAGAAUUGGGAGGAAAAUCUGCCGCAAGCCCCUAGUACUCCCACUCCGGCCAUUCAUCUUGAGGUGACAACUCAAAGAAAAGAGCUCUGAGUACAAACGUGUUUAAUACUGGCUUUAUUUACAACAGAAAAACAGGGAAAGCCAUCGAAGCUGACAAUAGGAGACUCACUAAACCCAGUCUGUCUCCUAGGUCCCCUCAGGGCCCUUCUGUAGCCACCAAGCUGAUGUGCGAUUCCCUCUGCCAUUCCUGAAUUUAUUUCUAUGAAAAAA
Manis javanica (Malayan pangolin) is the source of this 1723-nucleotide non-coding RNA. The record is from RefSeq and is a predicted model, not a curated record. NCBI's taxonomy places the organism in Eukaryota, Metazoa, Chordata, Mammalia, Pholidota, Manidae.